This 361-nucleotide long non-coding RNA is filed under the name Malus domestica (apple). RNAcentral's name for it is "long non-coding RNA (MDOM_LNC008695)". Lineage: Eukaryota; Viridiplantae; Streptophyta; Magnoliopsida; Rosales; Rosaceae. The record is from RNAcentral.
UCACUUCUCCUUGGAACCCAUGACAUGCAGUGGGAUCUCCUCCACAACAUGCUCCACAAAGUUCUCGUAGUAUGGCUUCAAGCGAUGUCCAUUCACUUUGAAUUCUUGCCCGGUUCUCAAGCUCUUAAUUUGGACUGCACCAUGCACAAAAAGAUUAGUAACAACAAACGGGCCAACCCAUUUGGAACGUAACUUACCAGGGAAUAGACGAAGGCGGGAGUUGAACAACAACACUUUCUGCCCAAUUUCGAAAGUCUUGCCUCGAAGCAUCUUAUCAUGGAAUGCUGUGGUCUUCUCUUUGUAAAUUCUAGCAUUCUCAUAAGCUUCAUGCCUUAUCUCAUCAAGUUCACUCAAUUGAAGC